CACGUAGGGUGCAAGCGUUGUCCGGAAUUAUUGGGCGUAAAGAGCGUGUAGGCGGUCCGGUAAGUCAGCUGUGAAAGUCAAGGGCUCAACCCUUGAAUGCCGGUUGAUACUGUCGGGCUAGAGUCCGGAAGAGGCGAGUGGAAUUCCCGGUGUAGCGGUGAAAUGCGCAGAUAUCAGGAGGAACACCGGUGGCGAAGGCGGGAUCCUGGGCCAGUACUGACGCUGAGGAGCGAAAGCGUGGGGAGCAAACAGG
RNAcentral lists this ribosomal RNA (253 nucleotides) under uncultured bacterium. RNAcentral's name for it is "partial 16S ribosomal RNA". It matches the Rfam family "Bacterial small subunit ribosomal RNA", at positions 524 to 776 of the family's 1533-position model. The record is from RNAcentral.